UCUACGGAAUAACUCAGGGAAACUUGAACUAAUACCGUAUGCGCCCUUCGGGGGAAAGAUUUAUCGGAGUUGGAUGACCCCAUGUCUGAUUAGCUAGUUGGUGGGGUAAAGGCCUACCAAGGCGACGAUCAGUAGCUGGUCUGAGAGGAUGAUCACCCACACUGGGACUGAGACACGGCCCACACUCCUACGGGAGGCAGCAGUGGGGAAUAUUGGACAAUGGGCGCAAGCCUGAUCCAGCCAUGCCGCGUGAGUGAUGAAGGCCCUAGGGUUGUAAAGCUCUUUCACCGGUGAAGAUUAUGACGGUAACCGGAGAAGAAGCCCCGGCUAACUUCGUGCCAGCAGCCGCGGUAAUACUAAGGGGGCUAGCGUUGUUCGGAAUUACUGGGCGUAAAGCGCGCGUAGGCGGAUCGGUCAGUUAGGGGUGAAAUCCCGGGGCUCAACCCCGGAACUGCCUCUAAUACUGCCGAUCUAGAGUUCGAGAGAGGUGAGUGGAAUUCCGAGUGUAGAGGUGAAAUUCGUAGAUAUUCUGAGGAACACCAGUGGCGAACGCGGCUCACUGGCUCGAUACUGACACUGAGGUGCGAAAGCGUGGGGAGCAAACAGGAUUAUAUACCCUGGUAGUCCACCCCGUAAACGAUGGAAGCUAGCCGUUGGCAGGUUUACCUCUCGGUGGGGCAGUUAACUCAUUAAGCUUCUCGCCGGGGGAGUACGGUCGCAAGAUUAAAACUCAAAGGAAUUGACGGGUGCCGGCACAAGCGGUGGAGCAUGUGGUUUAAUUUGAAGCAACGGGCAGAACCUUCCCAGCCCUGGACAUCCCGAUCGCGGUUUCCAGAGAGGGUUUCCUUCAGUUAGGAGGGAUCGGAGACAGGUGCUGCAUGGCGGUCGUCAGCUAGUGUCGUGAGAUGUUGGGUUAAGUCCCGCAACGAGCGCAACCCUCGCCCUUAGUUGCCAGCCUUAAGUUGGGCACUCUAAGGGGACUGCCGGUGAU
RNAcentral lists this ribosomal RNA (991 nucleotides) under Nitratireductor aquibiodomus. Its description in RNAcentral is "bacterial SSU rRNA". It matches the Rfam family "Bacterial small subunit ribosomal RNA", at positions 135 to 1159 of the family's 1533-position model. Lineage: Bacteria; Pseudomonadati; Pseudomonadota; Alphaproteobacteria; Hyphomicrobiales; Phyllobacteriaceae. The record is from RNAcentral.